AACCCGCAACCUCAUGGUUCCUAGUCGGAUUCGUUAACCACUGCGUCACGACGGGAACUCCUAAACAUUUUUGAAUUCCAUUCCAAAACGGCAGACUAGAGACAAUGUUUUGAUUCUGUAUAACUGAAAAUCUGAAGAAAUCAUUUCAAUUUAUAACCAAACCACACUGAGUUCAAUAAUGCCCCACCCCCACAAAGAUAUCCACAACCUAAUCCCAGAAACUUGGAAUAUGUUACCUUUAUUACAUAGCAAAAAAUAUUAAAGUAGCUAAUCCACUGACCUUCAAAUGGGGAGAUUAUCCUGGAUUAUGCAGGUGGGUACAAGGUAGUCACGUGGACCCUUAAAGAUGGUAGAUGUGCAGAAUGCAUGGUAAGAAGGACUCACGUCCACUGUUGCUGGCUUUGAAGAUGGAGGAAGAGGCCAUGAGCCAAGGAACGUGGUACCCAUAGAAGCCGAAGAGUCAGGGAAACGAAUUCUCCUCUAGAGCCUCCAGAAAAGAAUGUAGCCUGGCCGACACCUUGAUAUCAGCCGCUGACACCUGGGAACAACUUCUAAUUUACAGAACUCCAAGAAAAUAAGAUUGUAUUGUUUUCAGUCUCAAGUUUAGGGUAACUUUUUAAGGCAGCAAAGGGAAACUAUUACAGCCACCCAGUUUUUAAACCCAUUCCUCUGUUGUUAGAAUCUGUCACUUGAGGCAGAAUCCUCCCUGAUAGAAACCUAAGAUGCUUUUUCCCAGCCUCCCUUGCACUGAGUAAGAGCACGGGGCCACGGACCCCAUGUCUACCAAUUACAUGCACCUGCAUGGCUGUAAAAGCCAUACGCCUGGGGCCCUGGACUUCGGGAGAUGCUAGGAGCCUUAACAAGUUCCUUUUCUGCUAAAUUAGCUAGAGGUGGGUUUUUUGGCUUGUGACUCAGAAGCCUCAGUGAACCAGGUAUAAACAGUUUUUUCAAAAGGAAAAAGAAAUUGUCAAAGUCAGGAGAGGUAGUUUACCAUCACUGGUAGUCAAACUCAAAUUAAGCUCAAUAUGCAUAUCACAAUCACUAAAAAUAAAAAGCAUUCAUUUUGUGGCAAGAAGGUUACCUUUGUUUACAACUAGUAACUAAAUGGAUGUGUUGUUUGGAAAGCUGUAAUAGGAAAAUGACGUAAAAUCUGCAAACGUAUUCUUAACUUUUGACCUAGCAAUUCCCAAGAAAAUAGGGCAAACAUGUGGAAAGCUGACAAUUAUUGAUAUGUUUGUGUGUGAGAGAGAGAGAGAGCGCGAGAUUACUGAUGCGGGUUUAACAUUUGUUGGGGAUGAUAAAAUUUGCAUUAGGAUCCUAGAAGAUUUUAUGGAGUCGAGGGAUAAAGACCCAGUUUCCUGAAAUGUAAAGUCCCUGAAGCUGUCAGGGUAGCCAAGGUCAAGACCCAGAGCUGGGGGAGUUCCCAUUGUGGCUCAGCAGGUUAAGAACCCAACAUAGUGUCCGUGACGAUGCAGGUUCGAUCCCUGGCCUCACUCAGUGGAUUAAGGAUCCGGUGUUGCUCCGUCAUAGGUUGUACAUGCAGCUCAGAUCUGAUGUUGCCAUGGUGGUGGUGUAGGCCGGUAGCUGCAGCUCUGAUUCAACCCCUUAGCCCAGGAACUUACAUAUGCUGCAGGUUCGGCCCUUAAAAAAAAGGCCCAGAGCUGGAAAGAGCAAUGAAUCCCCAGGGAGAUUAUUUCCACAAAAGGUGGAAAAAGACAAGCUUACAAGGUCAUUGCUGAAACUCGGCCUCUGUCUACCAGUGCCAAAUAGAAACUUUAAAAACUCAGAGUUUUGGGUGGAGUGGAAAAAGAGUAGCUUUCAUUGCUUUGCCAGCCAAAGAACAUAGCAGGCUAAUGCUCUAAAGACUGUGCCCUUCUUUGGGAGAGAACAGGAAGCUGUCUUAUAGUUGGUAAGUGGAAAAUAGGACCACAGAUAAGGAUCAGGAUAGAUGCAAACUUGCAUUCUUCUUCAAAGCUGCUGUCAGGUGGUGCAUGGCACAGGUUCUGGGGUCCUUGGGGCUCUCGCACCAGUACCUUCUUUCUGGAACGAAGAAUGCUUCAUCAAGUAGUUAAUACCUUCCAUUUGUUGGGGGUUUUAGUUUGGCAGAAGAGCUCAAAGACAUUGUUACACAUGUUCCUUGAGGAGAAACCAGGACAAGAGUGCUCCUCCCUUUUCUCGGCAUCCCCUCCCUUCCCUGAUUAGCAACUGUCUGAACCUGGCCUUUGGAACUCAGGGAAGAUCAUGAAGGCUGAAUGAGGCCUUUUUCCUAGAGACAAGAAAUGGGGAACACAGAAAGCCUUUUGUGCCCAGGAACUCCACGGGGUCCUGGUUGGUUUCAAGGUGUGUACCCUGCACGUAGACAGGUGAUUAGAGGGGAGUAAGGUCUGUGAAGUGGCUUUACCUGGAGGGAGUUUAUGCCACUGUACAACUGCUGUUGGAAAGAUCCAAGUCAGAGCUGUAAUUUGGGGAAUGCAAUCCUCUUUGAGUGAUCUUAUUACUAAAACUCUAGCAUUUGGGGAACAUUUUAGUAACUGGUGGUGCAUCAGUCCAAAAUAGCCCUUGAAAUAAGAACCACAAAGUCUCUGCAGAAAAAUGGGAAAAUAUACCUAAUGUAAAUUCAAGUGAAAAUACUAUACAGAAUAAGUACAUGUAUAUUUAACUGUGUAGGAUUAUAUUGCAUGUGGAGAGUGGAGUUAUUAGAGAACUGUAAAAAUCUUUAGAAAUGCUUUUAUUAUACUCUUUCCUAUUAAAAAUGUCACAUCUCUUAUCAAUGUUUCACUAAGUUAAUUUAUGAAUUAACCAAACACCUGUCUCAGAAACCUUUUUUUUUUUUUCUUUUGAAGUAAGCUUCUUCCCCCACAAAAAAUUGCGAUUUAUCUGUUUCUUUGGCCUGGGUACGGCUCCCUUUCCACGCAACACCCUAUUUCUUACAAACUUUCCAUCACUGGCGGGAGGUCUUGAAAUGCAAGGAUCCUUAAUCCAUUCAUACAUUUGACAAAUAGAAAUCUAACACCUUCUGUGUGUUUAGCCUUAUCCACUGCAUUCUUCUGAAAAACAGGGGUCUAACUGAAAAGGAUAGGGUAGGAUAGUUACACAGGUAGUUGUGUAAGUCCCAGUAGGGGACCACAGAUAGAGAGGGAAACCUAGGGGAUUUUGGGAGGUCACUGUAAGUUAAUGAUCACUCAGGAAAGCCAUCAGAACAUUGUGGAAUGAAGAAGGCUUGCUUAGCUAUAAAACCAUACAUAAAAACAUGAGAUUGGCCUCAGGUUAUUAAAUGAAAGAUAAAAUAGGGCUGGCAUUCAAGUUCAGCUAGAUAACGAUCCUUAGGACCGAGGACAGGAAUUUAAGGGAAAGAUGGCAAUCCAAAGCGGAGACUCAUUAUACGGAGUCGUGAGAUGAUUCAACAUAUUUUAGCAUAUGUUACCACCCUUCUGCUGAUUAGAAUAAAUGCCAUGACAGUCCUUGUUUGACCUCACAUGGUCAGAUACUCUCUUACCUGCUACGAAGGAGAAGCUAAUGAUGUAAGUCCGAUGUCUACUUGAAGAAUGAGGAAGAAGCCGGUCUUUUCCCACUCCCCAUUUUCCUUGGAUUAUAAAAAUGUAGCCCACCAAAUCUUCAGGGCAGAGCCUCCUUGCCUGCUCACUUGUAUCUCUCACAAACAUCUUAUCUUAAUAAAUCUAUUUCUUGCCUGUCACUUUGUCUCUUGCUGAAUUCCUUCUGUGCUGAGACACAAAGAACCUGAACCUCGGUAAGUCCAGACGCCAGGUGAGUGAUUGUAAUUUAAAAAACCAUGGGUUCAGAGUUCUUAUUGUGGCUCAGUGAUAACAAACCCGACUAGUAUCCAUGAGGAUUCGGAUCUGAUCCCUGGCCUUGCUCAGUGAGUCAGGGAUCUGGUGUGGCCAUGAGCUGUGGCGUAGGUCUCAGAGGCAGCUCUGAUUCAACCCACAGCCUGGGAACCUCCAUAGCCAAGGGCAAAAAAAGGCAAUAAAUAAAUAAAUAAAUAUUAAAAACCAGGGGUUCCAGUCCCUAUCUGGUUUAGGCCGAGUCAGAGGUGUUUUAGUUUCAUUACAAAUAUCUUUUUCUGCCCCAGUGGCUGAAAGAGCAAUCCUGUCACAUUUUUAGACUGUACUUGAACAAAAUGGAUCUAAAGGAGGAGAUGAUGACUCGGCACCCAGAGCCCAGCCUCCCACCCCAGCCAAAGAGUCUUUCCCGCUCUGCUAGAAUGCAUAUGGGAUCCAGAGAGCAGGGACAGCAGUUGUUGCAGACCUACAGGGGGAGCUGACUGAACCCUGGAGAUGUGGUUGCAGGUCAGAGCUUGGAGGGAACUGAGCUGCAGGGGCUGAGGGAUGGAUGAAGCAGAAGAUGCACAGACAGUGGGGAAAGUCUGAAGUCAGAGCAAAGAGAAAUGACAGGAGUUGGAGACCAAGCGACCCUGGUCCCAGCAAAAGGGUCUUUUGUGCUCCACUAGUUCAGGGAGCUGGAAUGAUAGAUAACCUGACCCAUCCCAUCUGGAGCCCAGCGGUUCCUACAGCUGGUCUUCACAUUCUUUGGCUGUGAAAGGGAUGUAAGUCAACUUGUCCACACGCCUGUGGGAUGACCUUUUCUUCUUUUUUAACACCAAAUGUGGGUAUGGGUUUUAUGCCGAGCCAUGCUUCUUUCUGCCACGUUUCUGAAAUGACCAGGUACCCAGCCAGUGGAGGAGCCUUCCACCUUCCUUCCCUCCUUCCUCUCUGCUCUCCUUCCUUCUUCUCUUCCUUCCAAAUAUUUAGUGUGUCCCCACCAUGCUCUUCAUCUGAUCUUAAAAAAUUUUUUUUUUUUAUCUUAAAUUUGAUCAGCAGGUAGACAGCCCAAAUCUGGGCAGCUAGUGAUUUGUAAGGUUGAGUUCCGCAUUGAUUGCCUUUCUGCUGCAUACACAUGAGGCAGGCCCAUCUAAGCUCCAGGGUAACCUGGGUGCUGAGAACUCAGUGAAGAGCCAUGACUUUGGGAACCCAGACUCCGGUGGUUAUUUUGUGGUCCUAAAUCUGGUCAUUGUAAUCCUAAAAGCCCACCUUUACACCCAUGAAACCAUGGUUCCAUGUUCCAUGACCCCUGUUUCUCAGCCCAUAGAGAAGGGCAGGAAAAAAAAAUCUAGGUGAGGGACAUCAAGCAGCCCGUCAAUGUGAGAGAGACGGAAUUUGAAUUUCCAGUUGCUAGUUACACAAGUGCUUAACUCUCUAAGCCUGAGUUUCAUCCUCUGCAGAACAAGACAACCACCAUUAAUUACCUCACAGAGCUGCCACGAGGAUGCAGCAAGAUAAGGCAACUCAUGUGCUUAGCACACUGACUGGCACAACGCUGGCCCCAGUGUCAGCUGUUAUUAUUAACAAGACAGAGUCAUCCGUCUGGAGAAGAAGGGU
This 5396-nucleotide long non-coding RNA is filed under the name Sus scrofa (pig). RNAcentral describes it as "lncRNA (ENSSSCG00060012994.1)". Lineage: Eukaryota; Metazoa; Chordata; Mammalia; Artiodactyla; Suidae. The record is from RNAcentral.